This 330-nucleotide ribosomal RNA is filed under the name uncultured Allapsidae. RNAcentral's name for it is "SSU rRNA". The stretch from base 53 to 330 matches the Rfam family "Eukaryotic small subunit ribosomal RNA", at positions 678 to 955 of the family's 1831-position model. Lineage: Eukaryota; Cercozoa; Glissomonadida; Viridiraptoridae. The record is from RNAcentral.
GAUUUCUGACGAAACUGCUAGCUGGCCCGCCACGUCAGUGUGUGAGUGCCGGCUUGGCGUUUGUCAUCCGUUCGAAUGAUGUGCGCGCUGCCCUUCAUUGGGUGUGUGCUGCAUGUUUUCGAUCUUUUACUUUGAAAAAAUUAGAGUGUUUCAAGCAGGCAUUUUUGCUAUGAAUACAUUAGCAUGGAAUAAUAAUUUAGGACUUCGGUUCUAUUUUGUUGGUUUCUAGGACUGAAGUAAUGAUUGAUAGGGAUAGUUGGGGGUGCUAGUAUUCAGCGGCCAGAGGUGAAAUUCUCGGAUUCGCUGAAGACUAACUUAUGCGAAAGCAUU